UCUGAUUUCCACUCCAGCUUCACGGAGGAAUUACAGAAUGGUGCCAGCAGAAGCACUCCAAAAAGCCAGCCUCUUCAGAGAUAGACCACAGCCCCUGAGCACUGCGAGAGAUGGGCUGCAGGAUCAUUAUAGAUAAUAAGGAACUGGCGAAGGAAGAAAAGUAGACAUGAUACAGGUCGUGGUGGUAAACCCCCAUUAGUAACAUCAUAGUGCAAACUUUUUCAUUUACAUGUUGGUGUUUACAUACAAUGUCUAUACAUUAAAUUAAGUCACGAUGUAUACAAUGUAUAGACUUCUGAAUAACCUUCUUUGGUUCAGCCAAUGCUCUUCCCCAUUUUCCUCUGUUUUUUUUAUACAUUUUCAGCUUGUCUACUAUUUGGGAUCAUAGUCUAAAUUCCCCAGUGUUUUCAUUCUAAGUUUUCAUUCUAAUCCAGAAACAAUGUGUGUGUGUGUGUGUGUGUGUGUGUGUGUGUGUGUGUGUGUGUGUGUGUGUGUGUGGUGGGGA
RNAcentral lists this long non-coding RNA (505 nucleotides) under Rattus norvegicus (Norway rat). RNAcentral's name for it is "long non-coding RNA NONRATT023420". The record is from RNAcentral. Lineage: Eukaryota; Metazoa; Chordata; Mammalia; Rodentia; Muridae.